GACGAACGCUGGCGGCGUGCCUAAUACAUGCAAGUAGAACGCUGAAGGAGGAGCUUGCUCUUCUGGAUGAGUUGCGAACGGGUGAGUAACGCGUAGGUAACCUGCCUGGUAGCGGGGGAUAACUAUUGGAAACGAUAGCUAAUACCGCAUAACAGUAGAUGUUGCAUGACAUUUGCUUAAAAGGUGCAAUUGCACCACUACCAGAUGGACCUGCGUUGUAUUAGCUGGUUGGUGGGGUAACGGCUCACCAAGGCGACGAUACAUAGCCGACCUGAGAGGGUGAUCGGCCGCACUGGGACUGAGACACGGCCCAGACUCCUACGGGAGGCAGCAGUAGGGAAUCUUCGGCAAUGGACGGAAGUCUGACCGAGCAACGCCGCGUGAGUGAAGAAGGUUUUCGGAUCGUAAAGCUCUGUUGUAAGAGAAGAACGAGUGUGAGAGUGGAAAGUUCACACUGUGACGGUAUCUUACCAGAAAGGGACGGCUAACUACGUG
RNAcentral lists this ribosomal RNA (495 nucleotides) under uncultured bacterium. RNAcentral describes it as "partial 16S ribosomal RNA". It matches the Rfam family "Bacterial small subunit ribosomal RNA", at positions 28 to 507 of the family's 1533-position model. The record is from RNAcentral.